AGAGUUUGAUCCUGGCUCAGAUUGAACGCUGGCGGCAUGCCUAACACAUGCAAGUCGAACGGUAACAGAGGGAGCUUGCUCCUUGCUGACGAGUGGCGGACGGGUGAGUAACGCGUAGGAAUCUGCCUGAUAGAUGGGGACAACUCAGGGAAACUUGAGCUAAUACCGAAUACGCCCUACGGGGGAAAGCGGGGGAUCUUCGGACCUCGCGCUAUCAGAUGAGCCUGCGUUGGAUUAGCUAGUUGGUGAGGUAAUGGCUCACCAAGGCGACGAUCCAUAGCUGGUCUGAGAGGACGAUCAGCCACACUGGAACUGAGACACGGUCCAGACUCCUACGGGAGGCAGCAGUAGGGAAUAUUGCGCAAUGGGCGAAAGCCUGAUCCAGCAAUGCCGCGUGUGUGAAGAAGGCCUGCGGGUUGUAAAGCACUUUCAGUCGGGAGGAAGAGAGGGUCGUUAAUAGCGACCCAGGAUGACGUUACCGACAGAAGAAGCACCGGCAAACUCCGUGCCAGCAGCCGCGGUAAUACGGAGGGGGCGAGCGUUAAUCGGAAUUACUGGGCGUAAAGCGCGCGUAGGAGGUUUGUUAAGUCAGAUGUGAAAGCCCCGGGCUUAACCUGGGAAUUGCAUUUGAUACUGUCAUGCUCGAGUUUGGUAGAGGGGAGUGGAAUUUCCGGUGUAGCGGUGAAAUGCGUAGAGAUCGGAAGGAACACCAGUGGCGAAGGCGACUUACUGGACCAAUACUGACACUGAGGUGCGAAAGCGUGGGGAGCAAACGGGAUUAGAUACCCCGGUAGUCCACGCCGUAAACGAUGUCUACUAGCCGUUAGGAAUUUAUAAUCCUUUAGUAUCGUAGCUAACGCGAUAAGUUCUCCGCCUGGGGAGUACGGCCGCAAGGCUAAAACUCAAAUGAAUUGACGGGGGCCCGCACAAGCGGUGGAGCAUGUGGUUUAAUUCGAUGCAACGCGAAGAACCUUACCUGGUCUUGACAUCCCAAGAAUCUUUAAGAGAUUAGAGAGUGCCUUCGGGAACUUGGAGACAGGUGCUGCAUGGCUGUCGUCAGCUCGUGUCGUGAGAUGUUGGGUUAAGUCCCGCAACGAGCGCAACCCCUAUCCUUGGUUGCCAGCACGUAAUGGUGGGAACUCCAGGGAGACUGCCGGUGACAAACCGGAGGAAGGUGGGGAUGACGUCAAGUCAUCAUGGCCCUUAUGGCCAGGGCUACACACGUGCUACAAUGGGCAGUUUAGAGGGGCGCAAUACCGCGAGGUGGAGCCAAUCCCAGAAAACUGCUCGUAGUCCGGAUCGGAGUCUGCAACUCGACUCCGUGAAGUCGGAAUCGCUAGUAAUCGUAGAUCAGCAUGCUACGGUGAAUACGUUCCCGGGCCUUGUACACACCGCCCGUCACACCAUGGGAGUGGGUUGCACCAGAAGUGGCUAGUCUAACUUAGUGAGGACGGUCACCACGGUGUGAUUCAUGACUGGGGUAAAGUCGUAACAAGGUAACC
Molecule: ribosomal RNA, 1502 nt
Filed under: uncultured prokaryote
Description: partial 16S ribosomal RNA
Rfam family: Bacterial small subunit ribosomal RNA
Source: RNAcentral